RNAcentral lists this ribosomal RNA (253 nucleotides) under uncultured prokaryote. Its description in RNAcentral is "partial 16S ribosomal RNA". It matches the Rfam family "Bacterial small subunit ribosomal RNA", at positions 525 to 777 of the family's 1533-position model. The record is from RNAcentral.
ACAGAGGGGGCAAGCGUUGCUCGGAAUUACUGGGCGUAAAGGGCGCGUAGGCGGGAUGGCAAGUCGGUCGUGAAAUCCCUCGGCUCAACCGAGGAACGUCGAUCGAUACUGCUGUUCUUGAGGAUUGCAGAGGAGACUGGAAUUCCCGGUGUAGCGGUGAAAUGUGUAGAGAUCGGGAGGAACACCAGUGGCGAAGGCGACUGUCUGGGGAGCAACUGACGCUGAGGCGCGAAAGCUGGGGGAGCAAACGGGA